This 324-nucleotide ribosomal RNA is filed under the name Staphylococcus aureus. RNAcentral's name for it is "partial 23S ribosomal RNA". It matches the Rfam family "Bacterial large subunit ribosomal RNA", at positions 1603 to 1928 of the family's 2925-position model. The record is from RNAcentral. Lineage: Bacteria; Bacillati; Bacillota; Bacilli; Caryophanales; Staphylococcaceae.
CACUGCCGAGAAAAGCCUCUAGAUAGAAAAUAGGUGCCCGUACCGCAAACCGACACAGGUAGUCAAGAUGAGAAUUCUAAGGUGAGCGAGCGAACUCUCGUUAAGGAACUCGGCAAAAUGACCCCGUAACUUCGGGAGAAGGGGUGCUCUUUAGGGUUAACGCCCAGAAGAGCCGCAGUGAAUAGGCCCAAGCGACUGUUUAUCAAAAACACAGGUCUCUGCUAAACCGUAAGGUGAUGUAUAGGGGCUGACGCCUGCCCGGUGCUGGAAGGUUAAGAGGAGUGGUUAGCUUCUGCGAAGCUACGAAUCGAAGCCCCAGUAAAC